GAUGAACGCUGGCUACAGGCUUAACACAUGCAAGUCGAGGGGAAACGACGGGGAAGCUUGCUUCCCCGGGCGUCGACCGGCGCACGGGUGAGUAACGCGUAUCCAACCUGCCUCUGACUGAGGGAUAACCCGUCGAAAGUCGGCCUAAUACCUCAUGGUAUCGUCUGCGGGCAUCCAACGACGAUUAAAGAUUUCAUCGGUCAGGGAUGGGGAUGCGUCUGACUAGCUUGUUGGCGGGGUAACGGCCCACCAAGGCUACGAUCAGUAGGGGUUCUGAGAGGAAGGUCCCCCACAUUGGAACUGAGACACGGUCCAAACUCCUACGGGAGGCAGCAGUGAGGAAUAUUGGUCAAUGGGCGAGAGCCUGAACCAGCCAAGUAGCGUGCAGGAAGACGGCCCUAUGGGUUGUAAACUGCUUUUAUGCGGGGAUAAAGUGAGGGACGUGUCCCUCAUUGCAGGUACCGCAUGAAUAAGGACCGGCUAAUUCCGUG
This 491-nucleotide ribosomal RNA is filed under the name uncultured bacterium. Its description in RNAcentral is "partial 16S ribosomal RNA". It matches the Rfam family "Bacterial small subunit ribosomal RNA", at positions 28 to 507 of the family's 1533-position model. The record is from RNAcentral.